GACGAACGCUGGCGGCGUGCUUAACACAUGCAAGUCGAACGGUGAAGCGCCUUCCUUUUUGGUGGGUGUGGAUGAGUGGCGAACGGGUGAGUAACACGUGAGUAACCUGCCCCCUUCUUCUGGAUAACCGCAUGAAAGUGUGGCUAAUACGGGAUAUUCUGGGUCUGUCGCAUGAUGGGUCUGGGAAAGAUAUUGUUUCGGUGGGGGAUGGGCUCGCGGCCUAUCAGCUUGUUGGUGGGGUGAUGGCCUACCAAGGCGGUGACGGGUAGCCGGCCUGAGAGGGUGGACGGUCACACUGGGACUGAGACACGGCACAGACUCAUAAGGGAGGCAGAAGUGGGGAAUAUUGGACAAUGGGCGCAAGCCUGAUGCAGCGACGCCGCGUGAGGGAUGGAGGCCUUCGGGUUGUGAACCUCUUUCGCAAGUGAAGCAGGCCUGCCUCGUUUGUGGGUGGGUUGACGGUAGCUGGAUAAGAAGCGCCGGCUAACUACGUG
RNAcentral lists this ribosomal RNA (494 nucleotides) under uncultured bacterium. RNAcentral's name for it is "partial 16S ribosomal RNA". It matches the Rfam family "Bacterial small subunit ribosomal RNA", at positions 28 to 507 of the family's 1533-position model. The record is from RNAcentral.